AGUGAACGCUGGCGGUAGGCCUAACACAUGCAAGUCGAACGGCAGCACAGUAAGAGCUUGCUCUUACGGGUGGCGAGUGGCGGACGAGUGAGGAAUACAUCGGAAUCUACUUUUUCGUGGGGGAUAACGUAGGGAAACUUACGCUAAUACCGCAUACGACCUACGGGUGAAAGCAGGGGAUCUUCGGACCUUGCGCGAUUGAAUGAGCCGAUGUCGGAUUAGCUAGUUGGCGGGGUAAAGGCCCACCAAGGCGACGAUCCGUAGCUGGUCUGAGAGGAUGAACAGCCACACUGGAACUGAGACACGGUCCAGACUCCUACGGGAGGCAGCAGUGGGGAAUAUUGGACAAUGGGCGCAAGCCUGAUCCAGCCAUACCGCGUGGGUGAAGAAGGCCUUCGGGUUGUAAAGCCCUUUUGUUGGGAAAGAAAAGCAGCAGGUUAAUACCCCGCUGUUCUGACGGUACCCAAAGAAUAAGCACCGGCUAACUUCGUG
RNAcentral lists this ribosomal RNA (492 nucleotides) under uncultured bacterium. Its description in RNAcentral is "partial 16S ribosomal RNA". It matches the Rfam family "Bacterial small subunit ribosomal RNA", at positions 29 to 507 of the family's 1533-position model. The record is from RNAcentral.